Molecule: small nucleolar RNA, 107 nt
Organism: Zingiber officinale
Lineage: Eukaryota; Viridiplantae; Streptophyta; Magnoliopsida; Zingiberales; Zingiberaceae
Source: RefSeq, a predicted model, not a curated record
AUACCAUGAUGUGGGCAUUGGUACAAGAGAGUUAAGAAUUCAUCCUAUGUUUAGCAUAAUGUUUCUCCUUCUUUCUGUGUGAGGUUCAAAUUUUGAUUCCUGAGUUG